Long non-coding RNA from Mercenaria mercenaria, 819 nucleotides. RefSeq lists it as uncharacterized. The record is from RefSeq and is a predicted model, not a curated record. The transcript is spliced from 3 exons. Lineage: Eukaryota; Metazoa; Mollusca; Bivalvia; Venerida; Veneridae.
UUACCAAGCAGGUAUUGUAACAGUUCCGUGUUUUGACAUUUCGUUUCAUUAUCAAAUAAUUGACAAUUUAUCGCCCUUUGUACCAACACGCCAUUUGUAAACAUGAAAGGUCGUGUGAAAGGAAAUUUUUAAACAGUAAUUUGACGAUUGAUUUAAAAGGGAUAAUGAAUGUCAUUGAGCGAUUUACUGAUCAACUAUUGAUGAACUACUGAGAAACAUCUGGCAUAUUGCUAUGACCUUAAACAAAAAAAGGAAUUCUCAAGGCAUGCCUACAUAUCACAUGUUGGAAGAGUUUGUGGAAUGGCUGAAGGAAGAAAGAAUUUCCAGCCACAAAAAUAAAAUUCUUUAUGAAUUUGUGAAUGGAAAUGAAACCCAAGGAACUAAUAUAUUUGCUUACCAUCCAGUUGAAAGUAUGCCAAUGGAAUAAAGUGCAACUGUCAAAGAAGUGCACAAAAUAAGGUCAUGUUUUCUGCAAAAGUUCACCAAGCUGAUUCAAACUACAAAUGGGAGUCAAGAAAAAAGUAAAACUAACUGAACUGCCACAGUUCAACUGUGAGAAAUGUUUGGUAAAAGUAUGUUUUGUUGUCAGAACAGCAGUGAAGUGGUUAGAGUAAAACUGUCUUCAUUGUUUAAGCAAUACAGAUUUUUUUUAAAAAACAUACUCCAUGCAUAAUAUAUCUUGAGUGCUCUUUUUUAUUUAAAUAAUCAUACAGUUUCAAGAAAUUUGACAAUAAAUGCUAUCUUUAAUUUUAUAAGAAAAUAGUGCAUUGUUGCCAUGGUAUUAAACAUUAAUCUGACUAUAAAUUAUUGUAAAACAUC